Molecule: long non-coding RNA, 8564 nt
Filed under: Setaria italica (foxtail millet)
Lineage: Eukaryota; Viridiplantae; Streptophyta; Magnoliopsida; Poales; Poaceae
Description: long non-coding RNA (SITA_LNC001903)
Source: RNAcentral
CUGGUCGCCGAUGUUGCCGACGAUGACGUAGCCGGCGUCCACCAGCUUCUUCCGCUCGCCGGACUUGAAGCCGACGGCGGAGGCCUUGAAGCCGACGGGCUUGAGCAGCAGCUUCAUCCACCCGGAGUAGCCUUGGCGGCGGAGGUUGGCGACGGUGAUGGCCCUCUGGUCCUCGGUGCGGCCCGUCAGGAACACCGGCUUGAUGCCGAGCGCGAUGAGCUUGUUGUACAGCCGCUGCGUCUCCGGCAGCACCGGCGCGCUCCCCUCCAGCACGUACGCGUUGAAGCUCGUCGCGUUGUACGGCUUCGUGCUGGGUAAGCAUGCAUGGAAAAAGAAGACAAUGCAAACUCAUCACUUGUCUACUCUCUACAAAUCACACACUGGUUUUACGUUACGGUCCUUUCAUACAUGACAAACUGGUGUGUCCAGUUCUGAAACAACUUUAUUAGAAAUGGAGCACACACGAUCGUGUGAACCGUGGGCGAUCUUUUGGAUAUGACACUUGCGAAAACGAUAAGAUUUUGUAGCCAGCACGCAUUGGCAAAAGGCCAAACGGACCACGUACGCUAGUCCUAAUCGAUAUGGCACGCACAAUCUCAUCGACGACGUCUCCAUGUGGCAUCGGACACAUGCAUGCGUCCUAAGGGGGUGUUUGUUUUUUUAGUCGCUCCUAAAAUUUCUGUCACAUCGAAUGUUUAGAUACUAAUUAGGAGUAUUAAAUAUAGACUAAUUACAAAACUAAUUGCACAGAUGGAGACUAAUUGGCGAGACGAAUCUAUUAAGCCUAAUUAGUUCAUGAUUUGACAAUGUGAUGCUACAGUAAACAUGUGCUAAUGAUGGAUUAAUUAGGCUUAAUAGAUUCGUCUCGUGAAUUAGCCUCCAUCUGUGUAAUUAGUUUUAUAAUUAGCUCAUAUUUAGUCCUCCUAAUUAGCCUCCAAAUAUUCGAUGUGACAUAAAUUUUAGGAGGUCCUAAAGAUCCAAACACCCCCUAAGACUCCAAGAGAUCUGUCCCUUUCCCAUCACAGAGAAAGAGAAGGACGAUGAGAAUUAUAAAGGAGAGCCAUACGUUUUUUAAUCCUACUAUCUUGAGAUAUAGAGAAAGAUAUUAUAUUAUUAUGACAUCAGCUAGAGCUAAUAACCAGCAGAAUAUAGCGGCUCCCAAGAGCUCUCCUGCCAUAACCGCUACAACAAAAAUAUCAAGCUAUAGCGGAAUCUAACUGGCGCUUUUAAUGGCUGAAGAAGACUGCCGCUAAAUCCUAGUCCUCUAUUUAAAGCACUAAGCUAGCUCACUAUUGCUUUUCUCUAGAAUCAGUACACAUGUUCUGGUGCAUAUACGUACAAGACAAAACAUACAGAUAUGACGUGUAGUGUACGUGGCAAUGCCUUUGUUCUUGUUUGUUUUGGCUUUUCUAGACGCAUAAUUUUUUAUAUUCACCUAGGUAGAUAUUAGAUUUUCUAGACGCAUAACUUUAGAUAUUCACCUAGAUAGAUAUUAGAGCAACUUGUCAGGUGGGUACAGAUUGGUCAAACAACUUAUAAAAUGCUCAAUCUAGUACAAUAACUUGUAAAAUGGGUGCAAUUUAGUCCAACAACUUGUAAAAUGCUCAAUUUAGUAUAUUAACUUGAUAGGUGGCUGCAGAUUAGUCCAACAAUUUUAAAAAAUUCAAGUUUGAGUAUUUUACAAACUGUUGAACCAAUCUACACUCACCCGAUGUAUUUACUCUAUAUAUUAUAUCUAUAUAUAUAGCAAAAGUUAGAUACGUGAAAAAAUCAAAAUGAAUAGUAUUUUGAGCCGGCGGUACAUAUACGCAGGCACAUGAGCUGGCCGGUUAACAUGAUUAAUUAGUAUGUGCCAUGACAUGGAUUCCUAGGUGCCAUGCGUUGAAUCGCGAACAACGUUACGUACCCGAAGCCGUGGGUGGCGUAGUAGGGGAGGUUGGAGAGGGACGUCUCGUCGAUGUCGAACACCCACACCUCCUUGCCCUUGCCGCCGAGCUUGAGCCCCUCGGCGUACGCGACGGCCUCGUUGACGACAACGCGGGAGUCUCGGCGGUAGUGCCCGCCGAGCAUGUAGUGGCCGACGUAGCCCUCGCAGUCGGCCGGCACGGUCCGCCAGUCGCGCUUGUUGUACGCCUCCACCGCCAGCCGCCAGCUGUCGCACGGCACGCCGCCGCGCCGGCCGAGGUCACCGGCGGAGCCCACCAUCGGGCGCAGCGCGUGAAUCAACGGCGCCUUCUGGCUCUCAUCCGCGGCCGCCUGGACGGCCCACGCGCUGCCGGCCACGAGGACCACGAGGAGGACGAGCCUGGCCGUCGUCGCCGUCUCCAUGGCCACUCUGCUAGAGCUAGCCGAGACUGUACAGUGUGUGCUGUUUUGCUUGUGGAGACGAGCACCUGCCCCGCCGGUACGCGCGCGUGAGCUUUAAUAGAAGGUGCUUGCCUGCGCAACGGAUCUAGCGGGGCUCACAUGUCACCUGGUCAUCAGCACGCGAGUCGCUAAAUUUUUUGUUGUUUUCUAGAUUUUCUCACGCUAACUUUAUAAUUCCUUAAUUUAUGUAUAUAUAAAAAUAUUAUAAAUUGUAUGAGAACAAAAAAUCUGAAAAACAAACGUGGGGUUGUCUCGUAGUUCCAAUAUGGACAAUUGUUUCGCAAAAGAAGAUCGAUUCUUCCCUCUGCCUCCAUAUGUAAUUUUUAAAAAUAUUACUCCGUUUCAAAUUGUAAGCCGUUUUGACUUUUCUAGAUUCAUAGAUAUUUGUUGUAAGAACUAUAUAUGCACCUAGAAAAAUCAAAACGACUUACUCCCUUCGUCCCAUAAAAAAUGCAAUUCUAAUUUUUCUAUCCGUCCCAUGAAGAAUGCAAUUCUAGUUUUUCUAAGACUAAUUGAAAAGACUCCAAUGCCCUAAUUUGUUAGCCACAUGCAGUAAAUUUUGACAUGCAAAUCAGAUCUGAUCACUUAAUUAAACAGGCAGUUAGAUUUAUUUCCUAGGAUUAUUGCACUUUUUUGUGGGAUUUUUUCAAAUACUAGAAUGGUACCUUUCAUGGGAUGGAGAGUGCAAUUUGGGAGUACAUGAUAUUGCAUAAAUUUAUUUACGAGUCUGCCCAGUCACCGCAUGCAUGCAAGGCUGCUUAUUUGGCGGACCGCCCGCUGGCCGUGCUCCUCCCUCAGCACCGACGACGUGUGGCAACGUCCUGGCCUUACCAUGACAAGGACGGUUUGUCUCCUGCACUUUGGGCUCUGCCAAUGGCCUUGUAAGCUUCUUGGAGGAAAAAAAGAACUUCUAUGCGAAUCUCCUGUCAUUCAGAAUUUAUACACACACGUGAGUAGCACUUACAGUGUGUGCUACUGUGCUUACAGUUUUAGUUGUAUGUAUGCACGCGCGCCCUUGUAAAUUGUAAAUUUGUAAUGGAUAAAAAUGACUGCUUAUUUGGGGGGUUUUCCGUCUCUUGGCCGCAUUCUUUUGUAUGCGCACGAUUACAGAUUUGCCUCUUUUUGCCUUGUCGAUCUGAUCCCUCGAUAUAUGCCUCAUGCAUACGGCACUGCUACACCCGUCGUGUCAACUGCUGCUCGAAUCAGAUCCUAUACAGGCAUCCAGAGCACCACUGCUUUUUCUCUGAGCUGACCUGCAGAAAAGAAAGGGCUUCAGAUUAGGUCCUUUGAAAUUCCUAUGUUGUAGGCUGUAUGUUCCACGAAAAAGGCGCUAACCAUUAUUGCACAUGUGUGCUAAAGUACUAUAGAAAUUUCAUGGAAAAAAACCACUCUAGACAUGUCAGUUUUAAUCACAGUGUUCAUCUGUUUUUUAAUCAAAAGAAGCUGAUUUUGCUCUCGACAUGUUAUCUAGAAUACUCAAGUUCAUUCCUACUUUGAUACUCCCGUUUAGGGUGUUUUUUGGAAACCUCUUAGAUCAUACUACAUUUUUUUAGGCAAAAACUAUGGGGAAGUUCUUCACAGCACUUCAUUUCAAAAAUUAAGAAAGGCACAAGGACAGGAGAUGAGGGGGGAUUAAGUUACACUAGUGUCUCUAGCCAUUGAAUAAAAACUAUCUACAGGUGAUCAUACUACAUUAAUGAUAUUUUGCCCAAGGGAACAGACCUCGGCCUCCUGAGCCGCUCGCCCGAGCGCCUCAGGGGGCGAACCUGCCCGUACACUGCGAGCCCCCCCUCCCCCGGUGCCAUCCCCGCCUGCCGCCGUCGCUCUGGCCAUAGCUCGCGAUGGCGGCAGGCUCUCAACCCGCAGCAGUGGCCUCGGCUCGCUCCCCUCCCUCCCUUUCUCCCCGUUUUGCUAUUUCUUGCCCCAGAUCCAGAUCUUGUUGAUUCAAAUCUUGGUCGCCCUCAUCUUCGGCUUCCUUCCCCCGCCUACCUUGGUGUCUGCGCCUCUGCUCAGGCCGACGCUACCUCCUUUCCUCGCUCGUCGGAUUCGCAGGCCCCCUGUGCUGGCCUCUAGUCUGGGGCCUCCGUCGGCGGUGAUGCAUCCUGAGGUUUGGAGGUGUGGUUGGAAGGUGGCUGAGCUGCUGGGAGGGAUUCAUAGACGGCUUGUGCCUACUCCGUCGCUCCUCCGAUGGCAGAUCUGCGCAGCCUCCUCCUGGGUCGUCUGGUUCGCUGUCCCCCUGUGCUGGCUCCCUUACCGGGGCCCGUCGCUGGCGAUGCUCAAUGGGUGGGGGUUGCUGUUGGCAGGGCUCAACGGUGGUGCCCUGAGCCGUCCCUCUCCCGUGCCGCCGGCUGCAGAUCCACGCAGUGCUCCGCUGGCAGGGCUAUCCGUAUGCUGCUGGGUCUGCACUCAUCCCCGCCGCCUCCGGCUAUGUGCGUCCUGCUCACGACCUCGGUGACUCGGCAUGGUCGGUGCGGCAGCUGCAAUGCGAGGGUUCUGGGUGAUGUGCAAUGAAAGUGCCGCACUCAGUGCGCGGAGAGCGCGGUAGGUGCCAAGCACCUCUGCAUGAUCUAGGCAAGUUCCUUUCUUCAUGUUCUGGUCGGAUGCCGUCCAGCGCAAGCGUCGCGCCCGAUGUGUGGGGAGGUGCCCGGACCUCUGUAUGGCCCGACCUAGGGUGUUAUCUCUGGCAUCUUGUGCAGCUUGAUGGUUCUGCUUGUUGUUGUGUGCUUCUGAGGCCAACCGUGAAUGUUGGGUUUGCCCCGGUGAAUCGAUUGGGUGCUAAUGAUUCGAUUCAGGUGGGGCUUAGCCCUCCCGUUGCCGACACUCAUCGGCGGUCGGUGGUGGUUCCUUCAUUCGUGUGCCUAAUUUGCUUCUUCUUUGUCGAGUGAGCGUGCGUUGCGAUUGUAAUUCUUUGUGGCUCCCUUUCUUCUUCUGCCAAUUUGUAUCCUGAUCACCACCCCAGUUUGGGAGUGGCUGCGUGAUGUAAUAUCUCCUUUGAUGGAACGAAAAUGUUCAGGUGGGCUUACUUAGCCCCGCUUGAUUCCUCAAAAAUACUACAUUCAUGUAGACGUAAAACAUUUUAGUCCCAUAUAUGCAGAUGUUAUGUCACAUUUAGAUUUUAAAGCAUAUAUAUAUAGAUAGCACACACGCUAUCUACAGGUGAUUCCUUGCCACGAGAAAGGAUGCGUGUAUCAGGUUUAGCUUGUUCUCUUUUCAUGUAGUAAUGAACACUGGUCGCGGCCGGCCGGGCGCAUCUUUCUGCAGUUCGUCACGGGGCCGCAUGUCUGGGCCGGGCUGAAGUUGGCACACACGUCGAGUUCCGGAAGAUGCAUGCGGCCGAAGGGGCCAAGGCGCAUGCAAAGCACAUGUGCUGAUCAUGGCUGGGGCCGGGCUUGUUUGUACCAGCAUCCGGAAAAUGCAAAACUGUACAUGUGACCCUACGAACUUAUUGAUUUCUCUUUUCAUCCGACCGUUGAUCUAGUACCUACCCAUAAAUUUCUUACCUACUCAUAUCCAUUUCACCGUUAAUUUAAAAAUAAAUGAUUUGGAUAGCUCGUGUAGUCAUAUGUGAAAAAUCCAUAGCAGCAGCGCAGGUACUCAAUCAUGCUCUUUUGGCGUUUCCACAAAUUAUUUUAAUUCCACGAUAUGCCGUGAUACAUACUGUGGUCCUUUUGAAAAACCACGUACUGUGGUCCUGGAUGUGUCCUUUUUGUGCUCUUGUUAGUUUGAUUUUUUUAGUGAAAAAAAGGGAGCUUUCCAGAUUCCAAACCCACGAUAUAUCAGGCUCUCUCCAACGGACAUCGCCAACAUGCGUAAGUAUUUUCGGUGAACAUGGAGGGAAGAGAGAGAGAGGGAGAGGAGGGAAAAAAACAUCUACUAGAUCGUUUUCGUUUUUCUAGGUGUAUAAAUAUUAUUAUAUAUCUACAUAUAGUGUAUGUUUAGAUGCAUAAUAAUAUCUAUGAAUCUAGAAAAAUCAAAAUAACCUACAAUUUGGAACGGAGCGAGUAGCUGGCAGCAAUCUCAAAUCAUCAAUCGCACAAAAUUUGGAUAACAAAAUAGGAAAGCAUACAAGCAGUUAUUUUUUUCUCUUCACAAAUUUAAGAGGCUUGUAGCACGUGCUGUACACUAUUUGGGACGGGGAAAAUACUUUGUGGAUGGUGCACAUGCAUGAGCUUUAUUUGAACAGAGGCGGCAUACCUACAACGUAUUUGGUUUGGGAUGCCGGGUGAUCCGGAAUCAUCCGAACCUAGAACUGAAGCUAGCCGAGCCGUUUGGUUCGCAUCGCCGGAAGAGCUCAUCCGUCAUCGACUGCUUCCAUCUAGCGCUAAUCAACCAUUAGAUAUUCAGAUGGAACCAUUCUGUUUGGAGGGGAGCCGGCCCAUGCCGCACCGCAUCAACCGCUAAACCAAACACGCUAUUAAAGAUCGAGUUGAAGUCCAACUGACUGACGCAUCUACAUGGGGGACUGACGCAUGAUGAGGGUGUGAUAAAAAAUAAAAAGCAGCUCAUCACAAACAAACACUACAAACCCCUGAAUCAUGGACAGAUUAUUGAUGGAUUGACGACGUAGAGCCGUUGGAUGCUCGACCGGCCGGUGUUGUCGAGCGGGUCCUAGCUCAUUAGCCGAUGUAGUAGAGGGGGUCGGGCAGCUUGAAGGUGCGCGCCCCCUCCGGCGCGCCGAGGAUGUCGCUCCACUGGUCGCCGAUGUUGCCGACGAUGACGUAGCCGGCGUCCUGGAGCUUCCGGCGCUCGUCGGACUUGAAGCCGAUGGCGGUGCCAUUGUACCCGACGGGCUUGAGCAGGAGCUUCAUCCAGCCGGAGUAGCCCUCGCGGCGGAGGUUGGCGACGGUGAUGGCCCUCUGGUUCUCUCUGCGGCCCGUCAGGAACACCGGCGUGAUGCCGAGAGAGAUGAGCUUGUUGUACAGCCGCUGCGUCUCCGGCAGCACCGGCGCGCUUCCCGCAAACACGUACGCGUUGAAGCUCGUCGCGUCGUACGGCUUCGUGCUGUGUGGUAGCAAUAGCAUGCAUGGAAGAAGACAAGUGGAGACCAUUAGAUCAGCAAAUAAACUCAUUACUUGGAUAAUCUACAAAUCAUUCACUGCCGGUAGUUCCUCCAUUUCAAAUUAUUGAUCGUUUUAGUUUUUUUAUAAAUUCAUAGAUUAUGCUAAAAAUCUCGUACACAUGCAUAGAAAAACUAUGAAAUAAAAAAGCUAAAACAAACUGUAGUUUAGGAUGGAGGGAGUAUUUGUCGUAGGAACCGCUGUGUAUAGUUCUAAAACGACUUUAUUACAAAUGGAGGACCGGUAAAAAAUAUCUACUGUUGUAUGAUGCCCACUGGUCGUCGUCCUAUACUGACUGUCUCUCAUCGACGUGACGUCCCCAUCUGCCACUGUUGUGCUCGGUCAUGCAUGCAUGUGUCCCACAGGACCGGUCCCUUUCUUGAUAAAAAACCAACGUGUUCUUGUGCAAAUAUCAGAUUCUGGCAUUUUAUCUCCGGCUACGUAAUUCUGGCAUUCCUAGAUCCUGAGAGUAAGUACGUACAAAUACCAGCCAACGGCGCGGCGCUAUACUACGUGACAACGUACACGUGUAUGUACAAGAACAACUUAUACGUAUUUGGUUAAAAAAUAAAUUAAUCUGCUUAUCUUCAACAUCAUAUAUUUUGAGAACGGAAGGAGCACGCGGUGGUGUUGAAUCCUAAACAACGUAUGUACUACUUAUUACGUACCCAAAGCCAUUGGAGGCGUAGUAGGGGAGGUUGCUGAGGGCCGUCUCGUCGAUGUCGAACACCCACACCUCCUUGCCGUUGCCAGCGAGCUGGAGCCCCUCGGCGUACGCGACGGCCUCGUCGAUGACGACGCGGGAGUCCCUGCGGUAGUGCCCGCCGAGCAUGUAGUUGCCGACGUAGCGCUCGCACCUUGCCGGCACCGUCCUCCAGUCGCGCUUGUUGUUCGUCUCCACGGCCAGCCGCCAGCUGUCGCACGGCACGCCGCCGCGCCAGCCGAGGUCCCCGGCGGAGCCCACCAGCGGGCGCAGCGCGUGGAUCACCGGCGCCGCCACCUCCUCCUCGACGAAGCGCUCCGCGGCCGCCUGGACGGCCCGCGCCGCCGUCGGCAUCCGGAGGCCGCUCAGCUCCCACGCGCCGCCGCAGGAGGUGCUGCCGGCCACGAGGGCCACGAGAAGGACGAGCCUGGCUGUCG